GUGAAGGGGUGAAGGGGUGAAGGAGUGAAGAGGUGAAAGAGUGAAGGGGUGAAAGAGUGAAGGGGUGAAGGGGUGAAGGGGUGAAAGAGUGAAGGGUGAAGGCGGGGCGUCCGGGAGGAAAUAAAGGAAGAGAAACAGAAAGCGGUUAUUUACAGUCUCAGUGACGUGCACGUUAGAUCAGUUUAUAAUCAGAUCUGUAUUCAUACAUGUAAGAGAACAGCAAAGUAAACACACACACUCUGCAUUUUCCUACACACACACACACACACACACACACACACACACGUGUUCUCCCUCAGUGUGUGUAAAAUCUCUGCCUUUGUACAGUUUGUUAGUUUACAGUAAUAAAAAUGUAGAUUCGUUCCUGCAGGUUAGAAAUAAUAUAAACACGUCC
Molecule: long non-coding RNA, 394 nt
Organism: Ictalurus punctatus (channel catfish)
Lineage: Eukaryota; Metazoa; Chordata; Actinopteri; Siluriformes; Ictaluridae
Source: Ensembl